GUCGUCUGCUCAAACGAGAUCGAAAAUGGGAAAAUUUGCCAGAAAAGUUCAAGAAAAGUCAGACAAAUACAUUCCAAUCGUUCUAAAUAGUUUGACUAUAAUAUUUUGCAUGUGUACAUUCAUACCUAUAGGAUCCGUUAAAAACUAUUUUCAUGGAGAAUGUGUGCUUUAUGCCCAGCCGGUUCUGACUGCUGUAACACGACCAAAUAAUUUGACUACAAUAACAGUUGACUUGAAGUCAUCAGUUUGGGGUGAACUAAGUACCUGUUACUAUGUUAUAUACACGCCUGUUGUGGUCGGAAUCUACACCUUUAUCUGGCUUUGGUUCCAUAUUCAGUUGAGAAUGUCGAUAUUUGAUGAAGGGUAAGUCCAGUUGGUAACCGGCACUUAGAUUAGUCGACAUUCCCAUGAAGUGCCGAAGUGUCUGUGAUGAUGACUAAGAAAUAUACAGUGAAUCCUUACAAUUGACAGUAGUGGGCCUUUGCCAUGGGUUUAUUUCCAGUGUGAUAGUUCGUCCUAAAAAUUGGCAUAAGUCUUGAUGCUCUAUUUAAAAAAAUAUAUCCAUGAAACAGUAAAUGAUGUUAAUGUUUUAUCACAAUCGCCUGAAGAUUUCAUAAUUAUAGCGAACAUUUUUCUACUAAAAAUAUUUUAUUUACCCCAUUUUUCGGUAUAAUUAUGAAAUCUUCAGGCGAUUUUAUUAGUAGCAUUAUUUUUUUAUUGAACUGUAUCAUAAGUUCACAGAAUAGAAGUUCCUUCAUAAUAUAAGUUUCCAAAAGGAAGAAAUAUUCUGGAAUAUUAUUUCCACAGGAAUGAAUAUUACAGUAUAAGUUCCUAACGGAAUAAAUGGUAUAGAAUAUUUGUUCCAACAGGAAUAGGUAUUAUAUAUGACAUUGUUUAUAACAAAGUUUCCAGUGGAACUUCUGUUAGGCGGAACAAAUAUACAUUGACACAUGUCAUACCCUUUUCAAAGAGAAUUGCAAAGUCACAUGAAGGUUUUCAUCUCAUAAACCUUUAUAUAGUAACUGCAUGUGUUACUGUUAACACAAUGAAAUACAUUGAAUGCCAAAAAUACAGUUUUAAAAGAGAGACAAGAGAUACCAAAGGAACAUUCAAAAAGUUGAAAAUUAACUGACAAUGCCAUGGCUUAUGGUAUAAUAGACCUCCCCAAAAAGAAGAAGACAAAGACAAACACACAAUCAAUAGUGUACAACAACAGAACCAAAGACUGAGCACACAAACCGCAUCAUAAACUGGGAUGAUCACAGGUGCUUCUGAAGGGUAAGCAGAUGCUGCUCCACAUGAGGGACCCACUGUGUUGCUGAUGUUUUAGUACAAACCCAGUGAUAAGUCUGAUCAGUUAAUCACAUACAUGUAUGAAAAGCACAAAACUAAAAAAAAAAAAUGACAGAAAAUAUUAAUUCAAGCAUCAGAUUUUUACGAAUAUACUAUUACUAAAACAAAGUCAUUGAAGUGGUGAUAUGAAAAAAUGUAUUAUGCACUUCAUAUUGUUACAAUGUUGUUUCAAUUUAACUGUCUCUUAUUUAAACCUGUCAAAGAAACUUAGAAUUUAAGAAAGUAUAAAUAUUUUGUACGAAUCAGUUUUUAUUCAUUUACAAAAUGUAUCAUACAUUAUUUAAUUUUACAACGAAAGAACCAACGCAUGGUGAAUCUGUAGUAUGGUAGAGUCAUAAGUGAUACCUCAGGUGUACGGGUCGUUAUGAUAAAAAACAUAAAAGUAGAGAGUCUUAUAACACACACUUUAGGGACUGCUGCAGAAAUUAUUGAAUCACAUGUUUCGUGCUAGGGCACCGUCAUCAGGAUAAAAACAAUACAUAAAUCAUGCUGAAGUACAAAAUCGGGUUGCAAUGUUACAAUGGUAAGUAACGUUAUUAAUCGCAAGUGAAAGUACAUUGUAAGUAUGUAAGUAAACUAUAAAAAGAAAUUAAAAUUAAAUAUUUUUGUUGUGAAAAUGUCUUCCUUAUUUAAAUUUGUUUUCAUUUUAUAUAUUUUAGAAAUGUGCUCGCAGCAUUUAUAAUUGGAGGAGUAACAAACAUCAUACUAUUUAUUACCCUCUUUGUAACCAGCUGUAUUGUAG
This 2095-nucleotide long non-coding RNA is filed under the name Mytilus galloprovincialis (Mediterranean mussel). The record is from RNAcentral. Lineage: Eukaryota; Metazoa; Mollusca; Bivalvia; Mytilida; Mytilidae.